AACGCACCUUGCGCCCCUUGGUAUUCCGAGGGGCAUGCCUGUUUGAGUGUCAUGUUAAUCUCAAAUCACUUGUCUUUUGGGGCUUUGUGGUUUGGACUUGGAGGUUUCUGCUGGCCACCACGGUCGGCUCCUCUUAAAUGCAUUAGCUGGGCUUCGGCUCGCGUUUGUGGUGUAAUAGUUAAUUCUUUCGCCUGAGCGCUUGCCUGACGGGCCCGCUUCUAAUCGUCUGCUCGGUCGGACAAGGUCGUUUGGCCUUCUUGACUCCUUUGACCUCAAAUCAGGUAGGACUACCCGCUGAACUUAA
This 304-nucleotide unclassified non-coding RNA is filed under the name uncultured Hymenochaetales. RNAcentral describes it as "sequence contains 5.8S rRNA gene, ITS2, 28S rRNA gene". The stretch from base 1 to 52 matches the Rfam family "5.8S ribosomal RNA", at positions 103 to 154 of the family's 154-position model. The record is from RNAcentral. Lineage: Eukaryota; Fungi; Basidiomycota; Agaricomycetes; Hymenochaetales.